Molecule: ribosomal RNA, 450 nt
Filed under: uncultured bacterium
Lineage: Bacteria
Description: bacterial SSU rRNA
Rfam family: Bacterial small subunit ribosomal RNA
Source: RNAcentral
GUGGGGAAUAUUGGACAAUGGGCGAAAGCCUGAUCCAGCCAUGCCGCGUGUGUGAAGAAGGUCUUCGGAUUGUAAAGCACUUUAAGUUGGGAGGAAGGGCAGUAAGUUAAUACCUUGCUGUUUUGACGUUACCGACAGAAUAAGCACCGGCUAACUUCGUGCCAGCAGCCGCGGUAAUACGAAGGGUGCAAGCGUUAAUCGGAAUUACUGGGCGUAAAGCGCGCGUAGGUGGUUUUGUAAGUUGGAAGUGAAAUCCCCGGGCUCAACCUGGGAACUGCCUCCAAAACUGCAUGACUAGAGUACGGUAGAGGGUAGUGGAAUUUCCUGUGUAGCGGUGAAAUGCGUAGAUAUAGGAAGGAACACCAGUGGCGAAGGCGACUACCUGGACUGAUACUGACACUGAGGUGCGAAAGCGUGGGGAGCAAACAGGAUUAGAAACCCCGGUAGUCC